GAUGAAGAAUGUAGCAAAAUGCGAUAAGUAAUGUGAAUUGCAGAAUUCAGUGAAUCAUCGAAUCUUUGAACGCACAUUGCGCCCGCUGGUAUUCCGGCGGGCAUGCCUGUUCGAGCGUCAUUUCAACCCUCAAGCCCCCGGGUUUGGUGUUGGGGAUCGGCUCUGCCCUUCUGGGCGGUGCCGCCCCCGAAAUACAUUGGCGGUCUCGCUGCAGCCUCCAUUGCGUAGUAGCUAACACCUCGCAACUGGAACGCGGCGCGGCCAUGCCGUAAAACCCCAACUUCUGAAUGUUGACCUCGGAUCAGGUAGGAAUACCCGCUGAACUUAAGCAUAUCAAUAAGCGGAGGA
RNAcentral lists this unclassified non-coding RNA (348 nucleotides) under soil metagenome. RNAcentral's name for it is "partial contains 5.8S ribosomal RNA, internal transcribed spacer 2, and large subunit ribosomal RNA". The stretch from base 1 to 120 matches the Rfam family "5.8S ribosomal RNA", at positions 35 to 154 of the family's 154-position model. The record is from RNAcentral.